GCAAACUUGGUCAUUUAGAGGAAGUAAAAGUCGUAACAAGGUUUCCGUAGGUGAACCUGCGGAAGGAUCAUUACAGAGUUCGUGCCCUUCGGGGUAGACCUCCCACCCUUUGUAUACUUACCGAUGUUGCUUUGGCGGGCCGCCGCAUGGCCGACGGCUUCGGCUGUCGCGUGCCCGCCAGAGGACCCCAAACUCUGAAUUAUAGUGUUGUCUGAGUACUAUAUAAUAGUUAAAACUUUCAACAACGGAUCUCUUGGUUCUGGCAUCGAUGAAGAACGCAGC
RNAcentral lists this unclassified non-coding RNA (282 nucleotides) under uncultured fungus. Its description in RNAcentral is "partial contains small subunit ribosomal RNA, internal transcribed spacer 1, and 5.8S ribosomal RNA". The stretch from base 1 to 73 matches the Rfam family "Eukaryotic small subunit ribosomal RNA", at positions 1759 to 1831 of the family's 1831-position model. Lineage: Eukaryota; Fungi. The record is from RNAcentral.